Molecule: long non-coding RNA, 1438 nt
Organism: Lagopus muta (rock ptarmigan)
Lineage: Eukaryota; Metazoa; Chordata; Aves; Galliformes; Phasianidae
Exons: 3
Source: RefSeq, a predicted model, not a curated record
GUGAAAUGCAGAGACAGUGCAGUCACCUUGGGAAUCCUAGGUAGUUUGUCCUGAGAAGCCACUGUGAAAUACCUCUAGAACAAUUUCAAGUAAUUAUGCCAGCCCAGAUGCAGGAAAAACUCGUUAGAUGGCUGUCUCCUGAAGGCAUCAAGCUCAUGACCUCACAGCCAAAUUUUAGCCUCAAUCAUAAGAAGAGUAGGUUUUAUUAAGUAUCAGUAUAUUCCUUAUUCAGAGUUGUUCUGAUUCUAAAGCGAUCCUUCACUGCUCUGCAGUGUUUUGAAUGCAUCCCCACAGGCUUUCAGGAGAAGCUAUUCCAGAUGCACCUUUGAACGAUGUAUGAAAACGUGGUCAGUGCAUCUAAGGCUCAGCAGUUUGCUGCGUAAGCUGCUCUCAUUUAAUGGAUCAUAGUAUGCACCAAGUGUCUAUAUUAAUCUUUCUUGCUUUAUAAGAUUACAAUUUUAGUGAUUUAUUUUCAUAGCAUAUGUCUGUUAUUGUUUUCUCACUUUUCACAGGUCCAUCAAGUUUCCUUCAGACGUGAUUAGAAACACUGCACUUUGCCCUUAAAUUAUGGAUACACUCAAGUGCAGCUGUACUGCAAAGUAGUUUUUUAGUUAGAGACAGCUGCAAUAUAAAUGUCUAAAAAACCAUUGUGAUUCAAAUUCACACACAGAUCAAAAUAACAAAAAUAUGAAUGUCUAAAAUAUCAUCAGAAAGCAUAUUCAUACACAAGAAGAAAAAAAUAAAGAAGUCUAAUCAAAAGGUAUUCAAAGCAAUGAGUUUCAAAUAGACUUUAAAAUAUUUUGUUUCACCAUUGGUGACAGUCUUAAUUUUCUAAAUCAAUAUGAAGACAGCGGAGAUUUUUCUGUUAUUAGAAUAAAACAAACCCCUUCCGUGUAGAAAAGCCUUUCUGAAUACAGGAAAGUUAGCAGCUGGUAGGGUUAGUAAAGUAUAUAUACAUAUGUUAUUUGGUAAUACAUAUAUGUGUGGGAAUUGCUGAGUCUUGGCCUGAACCACUGAUUGAUCACCUGGGAAAGGACCGGGUCAGUCCUCAGAGCACAGGUGAAGGCAAUUCAGCUGUGUGACUGGAAGGGGUGGAGCCUGGCUGCACCUCUCUUAGACCCCAUUUAAGGGCUGACUGACAAGGGGGAAGAGAUUUCUGGAGAUCUCUCCUUUUGGAGUUUUCUACUACAAGCCUAGGAUGGGGUGCCUUCAUCUAUGAAAAGGGGACAAAGGUACUUAUCGCCAGUGGAAAGAGCUUUGAAUUGUAAAGACAGAAAAUGGUAUGCAAGAGGCACAAAACAGGAACUGUCCUUUAAAUGGGAUCAGCCUGGAAAAGAGAAGGCUCUGAGAAAAUGUAACCAGCAGGCAACCUUUCAGAAAUGUCUCAAGACUGUGAAGAAUGAGAUAUUUCGUGACUACAAUGAGGUCUCUUUACUGU